Molecule: non-coding RNA, 72 nt
Organism: Phrynosoma platyrhinos (Desert horned lizard)
Lineage: Eukaryota; Metazoa; Chordata; Lepidosauria; Squamata; Phrynosomatidae
Source: the annotation of a GenBank genome assembly
GCCAGUGUGGUGUAGUGGUUUGAGCAUUGGACUUUGACUCUGGAGACCAGGGUUUGGAUCCCUCCUCAGCCA